Molecule: long non-coding RNA, 1074 nt
Organism: Leptonychotes weddellii (Weddell seal)
Lineage: Eukaryota; Metazoa; Chordata; Mammalia; Carnivora; Phocidae
Source: RefSeq, a predicted model, not a curated record
UGUGCUUUCAUCAUAUUUUAUUUAUGGCAAUGUAUUGUUUUUAGAUGUCUAUAAUUUGCUUUUAUUCUUCCCGUGUAUCUUCCUAGUUUGAAUAGAUUCCUUCUUUUCUCUCCUUUGUCAGUUUUUUCAAUCAGAUUGCUCAAUGCCAAGACAAAGAGCUCUUUGAUCAUGGGCUAGAAAAAAGGGUUAAAGGAUGGUUUAGAACCAAUUCAAGAAAGAAUGAUCCUGUUCCCACUUGGAGGAGGACAGAGGAGCUGAAACCGAUGGGGCUGUGGAGCUUGGAGAGGAAAUUAUGUCACUUCCUCUAGGAAAACUCGAUCCUUUUCAUCACAACUAGUUUCCUCGUGUUUGUUGUGCCCCAGGGUGUACAGAUCUCUGGGAUGCCAGACAAAAAGACCACUUGAAAUGCUGUUGUCACCGAAGCCUCCUUUGAUCAAGGCACCAUGAGCAUGUGUCACAACAGGGGAGCAUCCUCGGGCAAAACCAGCUAUUCAGCCAAGGAGUAAAGAACUCAGCCUUCCCCAGAGAGAAGUUUGGCCUCUGACCUUGUUUCCUGAGAGGGACACAUAGGGAGAAGAAUUACUUAGUCUGACUGAUCACCAAGCAAGAACCUGCAAAUCCUCCUGCAUUGUUGUGAAGUCCAUCAGUCUCAACCUCAGCCUGUGGCUGUUGGUCAUUAUGCCACUGUCUUGCACCUUGGCUUGCAAUCAGCACCUUAGGGCGCUCAGUAUGGAUGAGGAACUGGGUUACUUUGGACAAGUCAGUCUCUUAUGACUUCUGUUUCUUUGGAGGACCCUGACUAAUACAGGGGUGUAGACUCCUAAGCAUCAUCUCAAGGUUAUUGUUGAAGGUGAGCUGGAUCUAGCCUACUGAACUAGUAGAGUGGAAGAGAAAAGAAAAAUAGAAUGUCUGGGGUAGAAACAACAUAUAGAAAGAAUGCUUUUCUAUUUCCCUUAACAUCCCUUGUCUAUUCCAGUCAUUCUGCUUGUGUGAAGAUGAUUUAUUAGGAAUAUAUUAUUCCCAAUAUGCUCCCAGUAGAUUGUUUUUUCAUGUUCUGGAAAGGCUGUAUUCUCU